Schistosoma margrebowiei is the source of this 45-nucleotide non-coding RNA. The record is from Rfam. NCBI's taxonomy places the organism in Eukaryota, Metazoa, Platyhelminthes, Trematoda, Strigeidida, Schistosomatidae.
AUCCAGCUGACGAGUGCCAAAUAGGAUGAAUCGCGCGUCCGGGAU